GCUGGAUGCUGUGGUGCACACCUGUAAUCCCAGGCACUCAGGAAGCUGAGGCAGGAGAAUCACAAAUUCUAUGCCAUCUUGGACAACUUGUUGAGACCCUGUCUCAA
This 107-nucleotide small RNA is filed under the name Marmota monax (woodchuck). The record is from RNAcentral. Lineage: Eukaryota; Metazoa; Chordata; Mammalia; Rodentia; Sciuridae.